CAACGAAACGAGAACCAGAUGUAAACAUUGUGUAAUCGAAACAAUUUUGUGUUGUUACAGAUAAUACAUGAUUUCGAGUUACCAGAAGGCUUACUGAAACAAGGGUUUCGGGUAAAAUCAGACUGACCGGACGAAAGCAGAAAAAGCGAAGUCAACUGAGUGCGCUGUCAACUAGUGGAGCGAUAUCGAUUAGCCCAGCAAGCACCAUGGACAAGUUUGACAUCCCGCCGUUUAAGUUCAAACAAAUGCCGCCAAAUGAAGUGCGCGAGGAGUGGACUCGCUACAAACGAAACUUCGAGUACAUGGCUCUGGCGAACGCAGUGACGAAUAAGACCAGGCUGAAGCAUAUCUUCCUCGCCCGAGCUGGAGUCGACG
This is a long non-coding RNA of Culex quinquefasciatus (southern house mosquito), 375 nucleotides long. RefSeq lists it as uncharacterized. The transcript has 3 exons. NCBI's taxonomy places the organism in Eukaryota, Metazoa, Arthropoda, Insecta, Diptera, Culicidae. The record is from RefSeq and is a predicted model, not a curated record.